UGUUAAAUGCGUUGGCGAUGUCAAGAG
Molecule: small RNA, 27 nt
Filed under: Bombyx mori (domestic silkworm)
Lineage: Eukaryota; Metazoa; Arthropoda; Insecta; Lepidoptera; Bombycidae
Description: ovarian small RNA-35981
Source: RNAcentral